Long non-coding RNA from Helianthus annuus (common sunflower), 2134 nucleotides. RefSeq lists it as uncharacterized. The record is from RefSeq and is a predicted model, not a curated record. The transcript is spliced from 3 exons. Lineage: Eukaryota; Viridiplantae; Streptophyta; Magnoliopsida; Asterales; Asteraceae.
UUGCAUCCCCAAAUAUUAUCAUCAGUUUCUUCACCUAAAUCGUUCUCUUUCAAUCUAUUGAAUCUCUAAAGCCACGAAUUCAGUUCUUUCAUAUUUCCUCCAUCAAUUGUUACUGGUCAUUCAAUUGAAACCAAACAUUGAAAGCCAAUACCAAAUUGAAGACACGAAUUUAAUUCGCCCGUCGUUUUGAAACCCCAUAAUUAUUUAACAUGGAAACCCUUACUUGAAUUCUCUGGUCAUUUGCGAUUUCAGUUGCCUAUUAUUAGGUUUUUCAUUAUCGAAUUUUGUUAAACCACUCCUGGUCAUUGAACCACAGCCAUUCUAACUUUGUCAACUUCGUCAAUUAUGAAUCAGGUCUGCACAUGAAUACACAUCUAUACUCACUUAUCUACCUCCGGACACGAAUCAGAUUGUGAAAUUGAAUGUUGAAACGAUCAGUUGGAAAUUGAAUGUCAUUGAAUGAAUUACGUCGUUUCGAUUAUAUUUGGCAUUAAUAAGUUGCUGCAUUCAGGCGUUGAAAUUUAGUCUAAUGGAAGACUAGCAACCAGUACUGGACUCAUAUUCUAACGAUCUCGAGAUUUUCAAUGGCCGAUCAAACUCGUAAGAUUCUGUUUCAAUCUUGAUUUAUCAAAUCAUACUUGUUAAAUGUUUCUAAUUAUUUUCAGUUUAGAAAAUUAGGUAUUAUUGUUGUACUACUAGCAGUAGCGUUGAUCUGUGAAUCUAUGUCGUUAUUUCACCCGGUCUCUGAAUCUCACUGCUCCGCUGAAUUAGAGUUGUUUUUUGGAUCGUUUUCGAGGUUCGUUUUAACUUCCGGAUCAAGUUUUUCCUCUCUUUGGUAUACAUUUAUGCACUAUAUAAUUAUCUGGUGAAAAUAUUAAGUUUUUGGGUGAUUCUUGAUCAUAUGAUGCUAACAGCUCCGAGUAUCUACAGACGCAAAAUGGAUUUCAUUAUUUCUUCUUUUGAAAUUGAAGAUUGGUUAUUUUCACCCAAAUGACAUCGAAGUUCAACGUUUUGCCGAAAUGUAAACACUACUCGUGUAUGGUAGACCUUCUUGGUCGAGCUGGGUUGUUGAACGAAUCCGAAGAGGUUAUAAACAACAUGCCGAUUAAACCGGAUGACAGUGUGUGGGGAGCGUUGUUUUUUGCGUGCAGGAUUCAUAAGAACAUUGAGAUGGGUGAACGGGCGGGGUUUAAGCUUGUUGAACUGGACCCAAGUGACGGUGGGAUUUAUGUGUUGUUAGCGAGUAUGUAGUGGGAAGCGAAGAUGUUCGAGAAGUCGAUGGAAGUGAGGAAGUUGAUGACUGAUGAGGAUACGAGGGGUAGAUAAAACGCCUGGUUGCCGUUCGGUUGAGAUUAAUGGACGCGUUUAUGAGUUUCUAAUUAGAGACAAAUCGCACCCUCAAAAUCGAGAAAUUAGUGAAGUCUUGGUUCAUUUGAUGAAACAACUUGUUGGUUUUGAAGAUUUGGAUUGUCAAUUCGUUCUACUGUCAAGUGCUUAGUUAAAUGGCGUCAACUGCAGCUGCAAGUAAAUCAACAAGAAAUAUGGAGAUUUACAACAUUCAAGCGCCUUACUAGCGUUAUCUUUUCUAGAGGUGGUAAAGUAGAUGGGUUGGGCUGGUCGGACCCGAAACAUGAGGCUGCCGCAAAGUUGCAAAACCAAAACGUUUAUAAAAGCUUUAGGACGCGAAGAAAGCUGGUAGAUUGUGCAGUUUUAGUUAAACAAAGCUGGUUAGUAACACUUGUCUGGGGAUCUCUUAUUUUGCUAAUGCAGUCUUUUUGUGAUUGUUGGAUUCUGCAGAACUCAAUAGUAGUUCUAUAUCAUUUUUCCAUAUUCAUAAACAUGAAUCCGCUAUAUCGCGUUCGGACAGAGCAAAAACAAGAGCUGCCAAGGUUGGGAAAGGAUUAUUAAAGAAUUGUUAGGCCCAGAAGCUUGCUUUGCAGCAUUGGUUUGAGGCGGUAGCGGAAACCGUGGUUUUACAUGAUUUUUUCUAACAUUGUUUAUAUCUCAUCUCUUUUUAACUGGUAGCAUUGUAAGAAACUUAAAAGAUCAGUUUCAACAUAAAUAUAAGUAUGAUUUUAUCAUAAUAAAAUUUACAGAACUGCAUUGUGCAUUAAAUAAAAAUCGAAACUGCAGU